UGACCAAAUCACCCUUGUGGUGGACUUGGAGGUGGCCAGUACUGGCCUCUCUUAAAACCAGUGGCGGUGCUCUUAAGCUCUACGCGUAGUAAUUUUUCUCGCUAUAGGGUCUUAAUUGUGCUUGCCAACAACCCCAAUUUUUUAAGG
RNAcentral lists this unclassified non-coding RNA (147 nucleotides) under uncultured Helotiales. RNAcentral describes it as "sequence contains ITS2". The record is from RNAcentral. Lineage: Eukaryota; Fungi; Ascomycota; Leotiomycetes; Helotiales.